GACGUAGGUGGCAAACGUUAUCCGGAAUUAUUGGGCGUAAAGGGUGCGUAGGUGGCCUGCCAAGUUAUCCGUGGCAAAUCGAGGCUCGACCUCGUGGAAACUGGUAAUACUGUUCGGCUUGAGUACAGGAGAGGUUAACGGAACUCUAUGUGGAGCGGUAAAAUGCACAGAUAUAUAGAAGAGCAUCAAUAAAGGCGAAGGCAGUUAACUAGUCUGUUACUGACGCUGAGGCACGAAAGCGUGGGGAGCAAAACGG
RNAcentral lists this ribosomal RNA (256 nucleotides) under uncultured bacterium. RNAcentral's name for it is "partial 16S ribosomal RNA". It matches the Rfam family "Bacterial small subunit ribosomal RNA", at positions 524 to 776 of the family's 1533-position model. The record is from RNAcentral.